GAUGAACGCUGGCGGCGUGCCUAACACAUGCAAGUCGAACGAAGCACCUAACUUUGAUUCCUUCGGGUUGAAGAGUUUUGUGACUGAGUGGCGGACGGGUGAGUAACGCGUGGGUAACCUGCCUCAUACAGGGGGAUAACAGUUAGAAAUGACUGCUAAUACCGCAUAAGCGCACAGCAUCGCAUGGUGCAGUGUGAAAAACUCCGGUGGUAUGAGAUGGACCCGCGUCUGAUUAGCUAGUUGGCGAGGUAACGGCUCACCAAGGCGACGAUCAGUAGCCGGCCUGAGAGGGUGAACGGCCACAUUGGGACUGAGACACGGCCCAAACUCCUACGGGAGCAGCAGUGGGAAUAUUGCACAAUGGGGGAAACCCUAAUGCGAGCGACGCCGCGUGAGCGAAGAAGUAUUUCGGUAUGUAAAGCUCUAUCAGCAGGAGAAAUGACGGUACCUGACU
RNAcentral lists this ribosomal RNA (454 nucleotides) under uncultured bacterium. RNAcentral describes it as "bacterial SSU rRNA". It matches the Rfam family "Bacterial small subunit ribosomal RNA", at positions 28 to 463 of the family's 1533-position model. The record is from RNAcentral.